Non-coding RNA from Rattus norvegicus (Norway rat), 14593 nucleotides. Lineage: Eukaryota; Metazoa; Chordata; Mammalia; Rodentia; Muridae. The record is from RefSeq and is a predicted model, not a curated record.
UAAAAAGCGAAAAGACUUUUCCAUAAAGUCUAGAAGCCUAGAGUACGGAAAAUUAUUAACAUUAAUUUUUGUUAAUUUUUAUCUUUUUGUUUUGUAAUGUUGAGGAAGAUUCAUGCAAUUUAGUUCAGUCUAGCAUUGAACUUGCCACGUAGCCCACACAGGUCUGGAAUUUGAAAUCAGUCGGCCUCAACCUCUCAAGUGUUGCUUACAGGUAUCACUUAAAGUUCACUAAACUAAUUGUAUUAAUCACAAGAGGUGGAGAUAAACAUCUUUGGGGGGGGGUAAUCUGUAACAGAGCAAGUACUACCAGUCAUACCCUCACACCUCAUAAACUCACGUAUCUCUGAAAUACAGAUAAUAAUUACUGUUCCACCAAACAAUUACUGACUCAGACUGUAGAAAAGAUCCUAAAUAUGCUUUUUGUAUAUCAGUAAGGGCCAGGAAAAAAAUGGGUGGGAAAUUUAAUCCCUUAAACUUAAUUUCUCCCUUAAAGUAUUUAUUCAAUAGUAAUUUAAGCAAUCACUGUGUUCCAAAACUUAAGUAGCUGUCAGGGCUGAGGAAAUCUAUACUCCCAUAGGCAGAUGUGGCUCAACUCCCAGCGGCACUCAGGGAGGAUGAGGGAGAUCUUGAGAGAACAAGGACAACCUGGGGCCAUGGGCUCCCAGAUCAUCUGGAGCUUGAGACUCUUCUCUCCAAAGAAGCUCACAGCUUUAAUUACUGUCCUGUACUUGACUCUUCAACAAAGGACAUUAAACAGGCAAACCCAAGGGAUUUAAAAUUGAAGAAGCAACCCACUGGGGACAUGAAAUAUGGUACAGUAUCCAGAAUCUUUCCAGUGCCAGCCCAUCCACAAGCUAGGCAAGGGCUCUGCUAUUAGGUGAUAGCAUCAACCCAGAAUUGCCAGAACCAUGAGAUGAACACAUCACCCCCCUCCUCCCAAAUUCUGUUCAUACCCUGUAAUCCAUAUGGCUUAAAUGUGGUGGGAUUUGUGAUCCCAGCACUCCCGAAGGCAAGGGCAUGAAAAUCCAUGACUUCAAAGCCAGCCUGGUUUACAGAGCAAGUUCUAGGAUACCCAGGGCUACAUAGAGAAACCAUGUUUCAAAAAAAAAAAAAAAAAAGAGAGAGAGAGAGAAAGGGAAAGGUGUAAUUAAGACGUAAUUAAGAUCCUAGAUUGAUUUAGAGUUGACAGGGAGAAUAUCUUGAAGUAGACUUGACUUAAUCUAACAAGAGACCUUAAAAAGAGAGACACCCAGCUAGUGUGAGUUUAAGCCAGCCUGGUCUACAGAGUGAGUUCUAAGACAGCCUUGAUUACACAGAGAAACUCUGACUCGAAACAAAUGAAAGGAAAGAGGAGGAAGGAAAGAAAGAGGAAAAGAAAGAAAACAUGAGCUCCCAUGUUCCUGCUCUAGCCCCAGGAUUCCUGUGACAAACCUGGACAUGUUGAUUGGGGCGGAUUGGAAAGACUUUGGAAUAGAGCCUCUGAGCGAUGAGAAACCAGUGAGCUGUUAUGGAGAAGCUAGAGAAAUAAGAAUGGGGCGAGCAGUGCAGAUGAUGGAGGCCUCGCUUGUAAAGUUUCUUCAGAGGGAAGCAGAGACUAUCAGGCCAUUCGUGUGAAAUAUCUGUGGUGUUCGGUGAGCUGGAGCUGAAGAACCGUCUGGGAUUAAGAAGAGACCAGCAUCAUUGAGGUGAAAUCUUUUGGGAAGUGUUUCCUUACUGUUUCAGAGGUGACCAAGAUUGUGCUGCCUCAUGCUGUCAGCCGAACUUGGUAGUUUAAAAGUCACCCAGGUGAGCCUUUAUGUAGGUCUGGGCGAAUCAAACGUAGGUUCUCCAGAAGAGCAAACAGUUUUAAACAACUGGGACAACCAGUGAACCAUCUUUCCCUACAUGUGCCUACUUUACUUCUGCUUAGUGAUGGAUCUUCUGAGACCAGAUCAUGUGCACUAGCCUACCCUGUAUAACAUCAAAAUUCAUGGUUUCAGCAAGAUUGGAUUUCACUGGUGGAGCCCAAGUAGCUCCAAGAAAACCUGGCCCUGCAGAUGCAGGCCAGCUAUGGGGUGAAGGUGCCUCUAAGACUGACUUCUGUGGGCCUCAGUCUUUCCCUGAGAGGAGAAGAGGCAGUGCUGGUCCAGAUGAGUGCAAAGAGAGGGGAAAAAGACAAACCAACCUUAUCAAAAACUCAACAGCCUCAGCACCUUGAACUGCUUACAUCUGAACAAAAAGAGCUUGAGCAAGAAACCACAGAAGUCGUGGGACAAGUCCUGUGGUCUGAAUAUAGAUUUCUGGUCUGCAGGAAGCCCCGAGGCUCUGGGUUCUUCCUGGGCUUCGGCAGGAUAGUAGGCUACAGGGUCAGUCUUGGCUGUUUCACUGGGUGAUUGUAUAAAAAGAGGAAGUGAACAACCGAAAAGAAGUCUACAGGGGAUUUGUAAAUUUCCAGGGUUUUUUUUCUUUGUGUGUGUGGAGGGGUGAUGUUUAAAUAAUAAAUGUAUGUUCUGAGCCUGGAGCACACACAAAUGCCUCAGUACCUAAAACUGAUUAAGAGGGGCUUACUUUUUAGUUUUUCAAUUGUACUGUUAUGACCAAUUUUAUGAAGGCUUCCACUACAUUUUCUCAUUUGUGGUUUUAGUUUCAGUGUGUGUUUGCUUAUGUCCUUAAUCUGCUUUGAAGGUAUUUUGUUUUAUUUUCUACCAUUAAGUCAUGUGCCCAGAACUCUCUUACUUUCUAUUAUUUUUAUUUACUUGACCUUUGUUUUUUUCUUUUUAAAUUUUUUGCCACAAGGCCUAAAAACUAUCUAAGACGGCUUUAACUCAGUGAGGCCCAGACAGCUUUGGAUUUGAAAUCCCCAGCCUCCUGGGUGUCUGGGAUUGUAAGCAUGGGCCAGCAGUCCUGACAGAUCAGAGAACAAAUGUAAAAUCUCAUCAUCACGACUCAGGACCCACUUCCUGAACCACUGAAAGGUAACCACUGAGGAUGUGGUAAGAGGAUUGGGCACCCUCAUGAGUCCUGCCCCCUAUAUCUGCCUUUAGAAGCAAUGAAACAGUAGCCCACUCCAGGUAGCUAGACCGAAAGGGAAGGAGUCACCAGCUAAGUAAGCAGAAGCAUCAGGCCCAGUCACUGCUUAAGAAGGAAGAAUGGCAAAGGGGAUGUGCUGCUUCUGUUGUCCCCACCCCUCGUGAGCGGUCAUGCUUCUGUUGGUUGGUUGCUUGUGGUUAUGGUUGCUCAAGCAGAGUUGGCAGCUAAGAAAGCUAAAGGUGAAAUGAAGGAGGCAGCAUGACCCAGACAAUGCCGGCCUCCCUGAUCCCACAUCUGAGUCAGGGAACUCCUAGGGUUUUGCUUCUGCCUCCCUGGUUGCAUCAGAUUCUCUUCUGGACACUCUAGCACUGAUAAAAUAGGAUGCCAAAAUAUGAAUCCAUAACUCUAGAUUAAGCAUGUUGAGCAAGUUCUAAUCAUAAGUACUUACACCUGACUUGAUUCAACUGCCCAGACGUCCGGCCUUAACUCACAGAAGAGGCCAAUCUAAUCAUAGUCAUACUGCCUCGUUCUUUAAAUUAGAUAAUCAUAACCCUUUACUUUGUACUUCUCUAAAUCCCUGAGGGGUUCUCUGAGGUUACUUGGGAAAUCAGCAAAGCUAGCUGUGCUUACAAGGACUUCAUAGUUGCUGUGGUGGUUGGAAUGAGGAUGGCCCCACAGACUCAUAUGUUUGAAUAUUGGUCCCCAGAUAGUGGAACUGUUUAGGAAGGACUGGGAGGUAUAGCCUUGUUGGAAGAUGUGUCUCAUAUAAGCUGGAUUAUGAGGCUUUAAAACCCUCCAGCCAUCUCUGAUGAACUCUCUGCUUCCUAUUUUUGAGCUCGAAUGUGAGCUCUCAGCUGCUGCUCUGGCACUGGGCCUACAUGUCCGCUGCCAUUCUCCCUACUAUAAUGGUAACGGACUCCCAUCCCUCUGAAACCCUCUGUAAGCCCAAUUAAAUGCUUUCUUUUCUUAAUUGCCUUGGUCAUGGUGUUUUAUCACAGCAAUUUAAAAGUACCUGAGAUAAGUGCUAUGGUGGUUUCAAUGGAAAUGGUCCCCAUGCUCAUAGGGCGUGGCACUAUCAGGGGAUAUGACCUUAUUGAAGUAAAUAUGGCCUUUUUUUAGGAGAAUUGCGUCACUGGGGAUGGACUGUGAGGUUUCAAAUGUUCAAGGCAGGCCCAGUGUCUCUUCCUGCUACCUGCUGAUCUGGACGCAGAACUCAGAGCUCUCUCCCAGCAUUAUGUCUGAAUACAUGCCACCAUGCUUUCCCUCAUGACAAUAAUAGACUGAACCUCUGAACUGGAAGGCAGCCCAGAUUAAAUGUUGUCCUUUAUAAGAGUUGCUUUGGUCAUGGUGUCUUCCCUCACCAAUAGAAACGAAGACAGUUGCCAAGAAUUGCUUUAUAAUAGAGUAGGAAGUAAAUACAAGGAAACAUUUGAGGAAGUCUAUUCGUUAUUUCCUGUCGCGUGAUGAAAUGCUGUAACUGGAAGUAACUUAAGGAAGAGUUUAUUCUGGCUUGCAGUUCCAGAAGACUAGCUGUUCAUAAUCACAGAGAAAGAAGGACUAAAAAGCUGAGAGAUCGCAUCUCAAUUGCACAUAGGAAGCAGAGAGCAAGCAGUAAGCGGGCCAAGGCCAUGAAAGCUGAAAGCAUGAAAGCAGGCCCCAGUGUGGAACUUCCUCCUCCAGCCAGGCUGCCCUGUGCAACACACUCCACCGUUGUACUGUCAAAUGUCUCCACACAGCACCACCAGAUUGGGAGCAAGUGUUCAAAUAUAUGAGCCUACGUCGGACAUUUUUCAUUCAAUCUAUAACAGAAAGCCUAAUAAAUACCAGCAUUCUUUUUCUUGUUUCCCAACUAUGGUAGUCUGAAUAAGAAUUACCCCCAUAGGCUCAUAAAUUGGAAUGCUGAACUAUGGGGGGAAGGAUUAGGAGUUAUGGCCUUGGAGAUGUGUCACUGGGGGUAAACUUUGAGGUUUGAAAAAUCCACACCAGGCCCGAUUUCUCUAUUUCUGCCUCCAAUUUGCAGAUCAAAUGUAAGCUCUGUGCUAUUGCUCCCAUGCAAUGUUGACUGGCCUCUUACCAGACUGCCAUUCUUGAUGGUUAUAGACUCACUCUCUGUCUUAGCUACUGGUCUAUUGAUGUGAAGAGACACCAUGACCAAGGCAACUCUUACAGAAGAAAGCACUUAGUUGAGGACUUGCUUACAGCUUAGGAGGGUAGUUGAUGAUCGCUAUGGUAAGAAGCCUAUGGGUGCGGCCCUAGAGCAGUAGUUGAGAGCCUUAUAUCCUGAUCUGUAGACAGCCACAAAGAGUGAGAGGUUAGGCAUGGAAUAGGUUUUGAAACCACAGUGACAUGCACCUUUGACAUACCUCCUCCUCCUAGGUCAUACCUCCUAAUCUCAUCCAGUUUCACCACCUGAGGACUAAGCCUUCAGUCAUGUGAGCCCAUGAAGGUGUGGCAUUGUCAUUCAAACAACCACACCCUCUGAAACGAUAAGCAAGCCCCUAAUUAAAUGCUUUCUUUUAUCAGUUGCUUUGGUCAUGGGAUCUCUUCACUGGAGGAGAAAAUUAGCUAAAACGCCAACUGUGAUAAAGGCUACUAGCUACAUCACAUUCAUACUGCUUUGCCUUCUCUGUGGACUGUAGUCCCUCAAGCCAUGAGCCAAAAUAAGUCCUCCAUACUUUAAAUUACUUCAUGUCAGAUAUUUUGUCACAGCAGUAAGAAGGUUAACAAAUACAUAUAUCAUCUAAUUAAAUUACUUUUUAAAAAUUUAUUUAUUUAUUUACUAUAAUUACACUGUAGCUGUCUUCAGACAUACCAGAAGAGGAUAUGAGAUCCCAUUAUAGAUGGUUGUGAGCCACCAUGUGGUUGCUAGGAUUUGAAUUUAGGACCUCUGGAAGGGCAGUCAGUGCUCUUAACCACUGAGCCAUCUCUCCAGCUCCCUAAUUAAAUUAAUUUUAAAUUUAAUAUAUUGAGGAUGGAUAUACAAGUUCAUCACUGGAUGCUUGCCUAGCAUUCAUGAAACCCUGCGUUCAUUCCCAAGUACAACUGAUUACUUAAUAAAUAAAGUUUAAGAUGUAAAAUCAACUGCAAGAAGUAUAUUUGACUAUACUCAAAUCAUCUCUGGCUUAAAUUUCCUGCUUGUAUAAAAGACACAGGAAAUGCAUAGAGAACUCAAUUAGAAAUACAAAGCUGGUAGUUUAUAGCAUAGAUAGACUUGGAAAUCAUGAUUAUCCUUUGAGCAUUUAAGGCAUAAUAAAAUAGAAGUCAAACCAGACCUUGGGAAAUAUCAAUAUUUAUGAGCCAGAAAGAAAAGAGUAGUUAAUUUCAUUUAUUUGCUUUAUUUAGGUUGUGCCUUUUCUAAAAAGUGGAAGAAAAUUGUCUCAUUUAAUCUUCACAGCAAUCUUAUAAGGAAAAAAGUAAUGUUGUUCUCAGUUGAAAUCCUGCCCCAGGCUAUACAGUUAUUUAAUGAUAAAAUUAAAGUUUGAAACAAAAAGAACAACAAUUAAAAAAACAGUCUGACUCCAGAAUACAGCAUCAUUCAAAUUAAAUACGUUCAUUGGAAAUUCUACAUGUAGUGAUAUAACAGGUGUCAUUUUUUUGUAUGGUUCUGUGUACUCUUUUUUUUUUUUUUUUUUUUAGAUUGGAUGAGUGAAAUGUCGUAUCCACACAACCCAUUGCCCUCCUCUAACGCCUUCCAUGUCUCCCAAAACAUAUCCACCUUCCAACUUCAUGUCUUAUUUAUUUUCUCUCUCUCUCUCUCUCUCUCUCUCUCUCUCUCUCUCUCUCUCUCUGUAUCUAUCUUUGUAAAAUAGCAUGCUAAGGUCAGUUAUUGCACGGGCAUGGGGCCAUCUCUUGUAGCAUGAAAAACUCACGCAGGCACGCACGAAUUCUCCCUCCUCUAGCAGCUGCCAAUUACCAACAGCUCCCCAGUAAGCAGUGGAGCCCAGAGCGAAGCUUCUCCAUUGUUCCCAUUCAUUCCGUUGCUAUGUUGAAACUCUAACCAAAUACAACCUAGAGGAGAAAGGACUUCUGAGUUCAUUUGCUGGUUAUGGUCUGCUAGCUUCCGUACAGAUCCCAGGAUCAGCUGCCCAGAGAAUGGUGCCACCCACAAUGGCACAAUGGUCUGUCCCUUCCUACAUAAAAUAACAGUCAAGAAAUCCUUCACAGACGUGCCACAAGCUGUCCUGAUAGAAACUAUUCAAUUGGAAUUCUUUUCCUGGUGAUUCUAGACUGUGUCAAAUUGAGGAGUUCAUGCUAACUAGGACAUUCAUCUAGCCUGGGAUUUUGGCUGGCUUGCUGAUUGCAGGUCUUGCAUUAGAUAACUACAGCCACCAUGAGAUUAGGACUAUAAUGAUAGCCAUGUCACUUCCACAAGAUUUCAGAGCUCUUGUCUCCAUCCUUUGUUUCUUACAUUUUUUUCUGCCUCUUAUGCACUAUUCCAUGUACCAUGAGGUAAAAAGCAUAAACCCAGACAUUGUACAUCCUUUAAUCCCAGCAUUCAGGAGACAAAGCCAUGCAGAUCGGAGUUCAAGGUCAAUCAACCUACAGAGCAAGUUUCAGGAAAGCCAAACUUAGGCAGUGAGGCAACUGGAAAACAGAAAGCUGGUAAUAGAAUAAGGGGGCCAUGUUUCAGCCCCAGCAAGCAGCAGAGCUUGGCAGCUUUGGCCAUGUGGCUCUGGAUUUGAAAUCCAUAAUGGAAGGGACUACUGGAACAAUUGAUGCUGGCUAGCUGGAGCUAAUAGUGGAUUAAGAGCAUCAUUGAGAUAAAAUUUUCUAGGAAGUGUUUUCUGAGGCACAAAGACACUGUGUUGCAGAGAUGACCAAGGUUGUACCCUGUGCCUCAGCUGUACUUGGUAAUGUGUAAGAGUCACCCAGUUGACACUGUUUUUGAAGAAAUAAAGGGGUCAUGAAGAGCAGCUGAGGCUUGGCACUGGGAGAGGCUUUGGAAGGCCAUUGGUGAAAAUGCAGCCUCAGUUGCAGUUGAUGGCCUAGGACUGAAGGGAUCAUGCAAAGAACUUGAGAAAUGGCAACAUGAAGAGAACCUGUGAGAGGCUAUUGGUGAAGCCUAGUUGCAGCAGAAGGCUCCAACAUAUUGGAGAUGCCAGUACUAUGGAAUGACCACCAAGAACAACAACAGCAGUUGAGUGGAGUCAACCUGAGCUUAGAGUGCUACAGAGGGCAGAAAAGUGACACCAGCCCUUCAGAGGAGCCCAGAAGAUCACAUGUGGAGCCCAAACAUUGGAACAAGAAGCUGUGAAGUUGAAGUUGGAGAACCCAAGAUGUUAAAGAUGCCAGAGCUGUGGGAUACUGUAUUAGUCAGUGUUCUCCAGAGUCACAGAACUUAUGGAUAGUCUCUCUAUAGUAAGGAAAUUUGUUAUGAUGACUUACAGUCUGCAGUCCAACCCCCCAACAAUAAUUAUCUGUGAAUGGAAAGUCCAAGGAUCUAGUAGUUGGUCAAUCCCACAAGACUAGUUGUUUCAGCUGGCCUGCUGUAGAUGUAGAUUCCCAACAGAUGUGCUGGCAAGAAGUGCAGGCAGGAUGAGACGAGCAAGUCUUCCUUCUAACAAUGUCCUUUUGUAGGUCUCCAGCAGAAGUUGUAGCCCAGAUUAAAAAUGUGUGCCACUACACCUGGAUCUGGGACUUGUUUUGUCCCUGACCUCAGAGAUCCCUUUGCCUUAGUCUCCUGGGAUUAAAGGCAUGUACUACCUUUCCUGCAUCUAAGAAUUUUCAUGGCCACUAUGCCUCAAGAUGUGAAUCAAAAUCAUGUCAAGAUCCAGGUCAAAAGCCUGUGUCUUGCAGCAUCAAGAUCUGGAUCACAGGUGUGCCCUCCAAUUCUAGCUUAGAUUGUAGCUCAUUCCAAAUACUGUAAAGUUGACAACCAGUAAUGGCCAUCAGACACCUGUGGAGGAGCUGCUAACAGGGAGUAGAACCAGCCCAGGAGAAAGAACUUUGUUUCAGUCAACAAAGAUGAAAAGGGAGUUGGAGAUCUGAAGAUGCUUUGACAUUGAACAUGAUGCACAGGUUGGCGUUUGCUGUUUUCUUGCCUUGCUUUGGAGAUUACAGUUAAGUGAUUGGAUUAAUUCCAGAAGAGACUUUAAAUGUUGGAGUUUUACCAUCAUUGAAACUGCUAUCGACUAUGGGGACUUUGAAAGUUGAACUAAAUGUAUUUUUUGAUUAUGCUAUGGCUAGAUAUGGCCCCCAUAGAGUCAUGCAUUUGAAGAAACCUAUGGGGACCAGGAAGUUGUAAUGUGGUAUGCUUGGCCCAGGAGUGACACUUUUAAGAGGUUUAGCUUAAAUACCUCUUGUCGGAGGAAGCACGUAACUGUGGGAGUGGGAAAUGAGACCCUCUUCCUAGUCAUGUGGGAGCCAGUCUUCUGGCAGUCUUCAGAUGAAGAUGUAGAACUCUCAGCUCCUUCGGCACCACGCCUGCCUGGAUACUGCCAUGUUCUGCCUUGAUAAUUGAACCUCACCCUGUAAUGCAGCCCCAAUUAAAUGUUGUCCUUCCUUGAGUUGCCUUAGUCAUGGUAUCUCUCCACAGCAAUACAAAACCUCACUAAGACAGCAUGUAUGUUGUAAUGGCAUUCUUAGUUGUCAACUUGACUACAUCUGAAAUCAUCUAAAACCAAAGUAGUUCAACACACCUAUCAGGGAUUUCCCUUAUCUCAAUCAUCUGAAGUGGGACGAUCCACCUUAAAUCUGGAUCUUUUGAUGUGGGAAGAUCCACCUUAAAUCAAGGACAUACCUUCUACUGGUGAGUAGAGAGAGAGAGAGAGAGAGAGAGAGAGAGAGAGAGAGAGAGAGAGAGAGAGAAGAGAGAGAGAGCGCCCUAACUAAUACAUGUAUGGAGGCCAGAGGACCCAUUGUAUUAAUCAAUUCAUUCCUUCUACCGUGUGCCGGCAGAGUCUUCUUGCAGCUAGGCUUUUCUGAGAAUGACUCUCUGCGGUUAUUUUCUGUUUAUCUUGUAGAGGAGGGACUUGGAGAACCUGGUUAAUUUCAGGGCCUUCCUAAAGCUAUUUUGGGCUGUUUACUGUCUUAAUGAGCUUCCCUGCGGGAUGGAAUGUUUCAGUCUUGGAGGAAACUGCUAGACAACAGCUCUGGAAAGAAGCAAAGAGAAGUGGCUCUCUGUGAGCCUGCAUAGUGAAUUCCAAAGUAGCUGGGACUAUACUGUGAGACCUUAUCCCAAAUUAAUCAAUUAAUCAAUCAAUCAAAAAUGCCAUAUGCUCCAAUAUAAAUGGACUUUAAGCCUAGUGAUGGAUAAAGUAGCCUCAGAAGAUCAUCUUUGAUUUUCAUAACUGCCCCUUCUCAUACCUCAUAGAAGGGAAAUCAGACAUAAGUGCAUUAUGUGCUGCUCAGAACCAGGCCCUCUUUCAAUGAGCUACUCCCCAGACCCUUAUUUGCUUAUUUCUAAGACAUUUUCAUGUGCCCUGAUAUGAUUAACAAUGUGUCAAACUGAGCAGUGGUAGUGCUCACCUUUAAUCCAGGCACUCAGGAGGCAGAGGCAGGGAGAGCUCAAAAGUUCAAGGCCAGCCUGGUCUACAGAGUAAGUUACAGGACAGCCAGAGCUGCACAGAGAAACCUCUGCCUUGGGGUGAGGGGAAGAGUAACAUGGCUAGAGUGUUGGCUCCAUUCGUGGAAGGAGCAUGAGCAAGUUACCAUAGCAACACUGCUGAGGAAAAUUGCUCCUGCUCAACCACGUAACAUUAAGACCCACAGUGUUUGCUGAGCUUGGGUGGUUUUGAUACCAUUUGCUGCUAAGCACUCACUUGAUGGGCAUUUAAAGAGGAGCUUCUGUGGCCAAGGCUGAGAGUAGGGUUAGCCUAUGAACCUGAAGAUAAAUGUCGAGAAGACACCUUGAUGCUGUGUCCAGUUAGCAAAGCAGCAAUAGCAAGAGUCGCUGCCCAUGACCCCCAAAGCCAUGGUCUUUUGACCAGGUUUAAAAUACCAGAUUCUCUACUGCAGAGCAGGCCCCAAAUCCAGUAGGCUAGGGUUUACUCCCAUUACUGUUUCUUUUGUUCUUUAACACACAAGGGCCUCAUUGUGAUAUUUUUAUUUGCAUUGUUCUGGCUCCCGCACUAUUGCUGUGAUAAAACACCGUGACAGAAGGCAGCUUCACAGAGGAAAGGAUUUAUUUGGCUUAUACUUCCAAGUCAUACUCCAUUACUGGUGGUGGUCAGGAUAGAAACUGAAGCAACAGCUUGAAGCAGAAACCAUGGAGGAAGGCUGCUUCCUGGCUGCUCAGACUCUCCCUUGGGUCACACCCUAUCUACACAGCCCAGGCCUACAGGUCCAGGGAAUGUCUCCACCCACAGUGGGCUGACCCUCCUACAUCAAUUCACAAUCAAGACAAUCCCUCAAAAGCAUGACUGUGGACCAAUAUAAACAAUUUACUCAAAUGAGACUUUUCUUUCAGGUGAUUCUAGGCUAUGUCAAUUGACGGUUGAAGUUUACAAGGACACAAAUAGCAUUACACCCCUCUGUCCCCUCAGUACUUCCUCCUCUCUCCAUCUAGUCCCCCUCUGACCCAGAAAUAAAACUUCCUGAUGCUUUCAUGCCUCAUAUUUCUCAAUGUUUAGCUCUUUUAAAAGAUAUAAAAGGGGGCUAGAGAGAUGGCUCAGCGGUUAAGAGCACUGACUGCUCUUCCAGAGGUCCUGAGUUCAAAUCCCAGCAACUACACAAUGGCUCACAACUAUCUGUAAUGGGAUCUGGUGUGUCUGAAGAAAGCUACAGUGUACUCGUAUACAUAAAAUAAAUAAAUCUUUAAAAAAGAUAUAAAAGAAGCUGGGCAGUAGUAGUACACACUUUAAUCUCGUUGAUUGGAAGGCAGAGGAAGGUGGAUCUCUGGGAGUUCAAGGUCAGCUUUGUCUACAAAGUGAGUUCUAGGACAGCCAGGGCUAUACAGAGAAACUCUGUCUCAAAAGCAAUCAAAAAGAAAAAAAUUUAUACUUUGGCAGUUAUAGAGGUAGCUGUCACCAAAACACGUAGGUAGAUUCACCUGCUGCAGUCAGUUGAACUGUGUUUUAAGACCGAUGGUCGUAACUUAACUAAGUGGCCGAAUCUUUGUAGGUUUUCAAAUCUGUGCGGUUAAGGUUUUCACCCCCAUACGAGGACACAUUCAGAAGGGAAAAUGUCUUUAAGACUCUUGGGAUCUUAGGGGUUUUCAGAACCACUUGACCAUCAGAAGAAUUUGAUAUUUUAUCCUACAUUCACAUUUAAAUUAGAUGUCCCACAUUUUGUAGGUAUUUCAACACUAUGUUAAGAGACAUGUGCCAGGGCUUUUGAGAUGACUUAGCAGGUAAGGGGGCUUGCUGCCAUGUUUGAUCUCUGGGACCCACAAGAGUCUAGGGAGAACCAACUCCUGUAAAUUGUCCUUUGACCUCAAUAUAUGCACCCACCCACACAGACCACACGGACACACACCAUUAAUAAAUCAAUGUGAGCCAGGCAUAGCACACAUACCUUUAAUCCUAAUACACACGAGGCAGAGGCCUGGAGGAAGUUUGGGUUUGAAACACACCCGAUCUGCUCCGCAUGGCACAUGCCAGAGCAGCCAGGGCUAAGGAAUGAGGCUGCCUCAAAAAUAAAAAGAAACCAAACAAUACACAUACUCAUACUCACAAUUAUGAGAGCAAAGCAGAAGAGUAUUUUAAGACAGAUAACAUGUAGCCCAUGAUAGCCUAAAACUCAUCAUGUGGCAGAAGCUGGCCGUGAACUCUUGACCCUACCACCUCUGCCUGAGGCCUGGGAUUAUAUUGUGUGCUACUACACCCAGUGUCUGUGAUGAUGGGAUCUUGAAUGUGUCAGGGACCUUUACCACUAAAUCGUGUCACCAAUCUCCUUAGUUAAUUUCAAACCAGUGAAAACAAAAGUCCUCAAUAGAACUAUAUAUUUCAUAAACUUUAUUUUAGGAAAAGAGCUUUGGUCAAUAUCUAGUACAAUUAUUAUGUUUACCUUAUAAACUUUUGUUUUUGAAACAGGGUUUCACUUUGUAACCUUGUCUGACCCAGAACUAAAUAUGCAGGCCAGGUUGACCUUGAACUCACAGAGGUCUGCCUGCCUUUGCCUCUUAAAUGCUGGGAUUAAAGACAUGCAUCACUAUCUACCCCAGCCCCCCAACCACCGUUCCCGGCAUGCCCCAUUGUUGCAAGAUAUUUGAUCACUCUGUGAAACCCUACAUGGAGUUAUAUAUCGGGAAAACCUGCUUAUACUUGAAGUGUAUCUGAGCUCUAGACACACCUUUAAUCCACUUUCUGCUUAUUGUAAACAGGUUUAAAUAAAGUUAACCAUAGGUCAAAAGGUGGAGCAAGAAACCAGUUGAUGGAGUGAACGUAGGAAAAAAAGUAAAGAGGAGUCAGGACGAUGAAGAGAGAGAUGCACAGGAAAUGAAAGGGAAGGACGUGCAGUUUGAGGGAUUUUUGAGACAGAGAACUGCCUUUCGGGAUGUUGGCUGAGGAAGAAGGUCAGGUAGGUGUUUUCUCUCAGCUAGCAGGUUUUCACCCCAGCAUCUGGCUCUCAAGUCUCCAUUGGUAAAUCGAAUGAUUGAGACUUUGUUAACAGCAACACCCCAUAAAAUUUAUGUUCUCUACUAGCACAUUAUUGUGACUUAAUUAUCAGCACCAUUCAACAUCUGCCCUGCUGCUCUGUCAUACUUGCUGUUAUAGUUUGGGUUUCUCUUGCUGUGGUCAAACACUAUGGUCAAAAACAACUUGGGGAAGAAAGUUUCUUUCAGCUUACAGCUCUACAUUACUGUCCAUCCCUGAGGGAAGGCAGGGCCAGAACCUGGAUGGAGGAGCUGAUGAAGAGGCUAUAGAGAAUGCUACUCACUGUCUUGUUCUCCACAGCUGGCUGGCUCAACCUGCCUGAUUUCUUCUAGCACCUCGGACUACCAGGCCAGGGGUGGCCCAGCCCGCCAUGAGCUGGGCUCUCCCUCAUCAAUCAAGAAGAUGUUCCACAGGCCAAUAUGGUGGGCAUUUCGUCACUUGAAGUUCCCUUUUUACAAGUGUUCUGACUUGUGUCAAGUUGACAUAAAAUUAGUCAGCACACCACUCAAUGUGUUCUUGUAAACAUUAGGUAUUCGCCCCGUGUGGCCACACAUUGUAAUCCCAGCACUCAGGAGGCUCCAGCAAGAACAAGCCCAAGAUCCUGCGGACCUAAUUAAUGUAAUGUGUCUUGACAAUGGAUAUCUGUUUAUGAUAUCAAAAUACCUAGGAUACCUACAAUGCUUGUGGUCUGCCCUCCCCUGACCCCGGCCUAUACCAUCUUCAGUCUCCACAGCAGCUGAAGCCACCAUGUGCCAUCGGGGCCAGUCCUUCCUGUCAACACCUGAACGAUAGACUCAUAAAUAUAGACUCUGCCUAUAUCACUUCAACACUGUCUUACUGCACCUAGGAACUAAGUUAUGAUUUCCACAUUUUUCGGUCACUUUGUACCUUUCUAGUAUUGAAAAAACUCCUCUAAAUACCUGUAUUUACUAUUGAUUGGGGGUAUUUUGUGAAGUUGCAGUCUUGAGUUGUAAUUUUUUUUCCAGAAAAGAAUACAAAUCACUUCUUGUCUGUAAAAAGAUAUAAAACCUCUUAAAUUUUCUCGCAAA